AGGGUUUGAUUAUGGCUCAGGACGAACGCUGGCGGCGCGCCUAACACAUGCAAGUCGAACGGAGUUGUGUUGAAAGCUUGCUGGAUAUACAACUUAGUGGCGGACGGGUGAGUAACACGUGAGUAACCUGCCUCUCAGAGUGGAAUAACGUUUGGAAACGAACGCUAAUACCGCAUAACGUGAGAAGAGGGCAUCCUCUUUUUACCAAAGAUUUAUCGCUGAGAGAUGGGCUCGCGGCCGAUUAGGUAGUUGGUGAGAUAACAGCCCACCAAGCCGACGAUCGGUAGCCGGACUGAGAGGUUGAUCGGCCACAUUGGGACUGAGACACGGCCCAG
This 335-nucleotide ribosomal RNA is filed under the name uncultured bacterium. RNAcentral's name for it is "bacterial SSU rRNA". It matches the Rfam family "Bacterial small subunit ribosomal RNA", at positions 8 to 334 of the family's 1533-position model. The record is from RNAcentral.